CGUUUAGGGGUAAACCUGAGAAACCCGAAAGGUCGAAGGGAGAAAUUCAUUCGCGUUUCAUAGCAGGCAUUAGAUGGAUUGUGUGACGAAAAAAUAUUUAUUUAUUUUUUUGCAUCAUCUAUUUAUUUGAACCGGUUAUGAACGUGUGCACUUUUCUCCUGGUAGGACGUCGCGAUCCGUCGAGUGUCGGUCUACGACUUAUAAUGUUGACCAUUUGUUAAUUCCGUUAAAAGAAUUGAAUAAAUGGACUUGUAUGUUUUCUGGCCGACUUGCUCAACGGUAUAUAGAAUGGUUUGAGGCCGCUACUUUUUUGAAGCGUUUGACUUAUUGCAAGCGCGCUAGAUGUUUGUCGUUAAUCGGACCUAGUGCCGGUUUCGGCCUCUAGUGACUGUUGGCAAUAAUGUUCUUAAACAGACCUCGUUAAUUUAAAAAACCUAUCUGCGACGCUAUAGCUUUGGGUACUUUCAGGACCCGUCUUGAAACACGGACCAAGGAGUCUAGCAUAUACGCAAGUCAUUGGGUUAUUACGAAACCUAAAGGCGUAAUGAAAGUAAAAAUCUUUCUUGUAAAGAUUUAGGGAAGACGAGUGGGUGUUAGAAAUAAUAACUACUCUGCAUUCCCGGGGCGUCUCAUUCUCAUUAUGAGAAGAGGCGCACCAAGAGCGUAUACGCUGGGACCCGAAAGAUGGUGAACUAUGCCUGGUCAGGACGAAGUCAGGGGAAACCCUGAUGGAGGUCCGUAGCGAUUCUGACGUGCAAAUCGAUCGUCGGAACUGGGUAUAGGGCCGAAAGACUAAUCGAACCAUC
RNAcentral lists this ribosomal RNA (806 nucleotides) under Ctonoxylon hamatum. RNAcentral's name for it is "partial large subunit ribosomal RNA". It matches the Rfam family "Eukaryotic large subunit ribosomal RNA", at positions 406 to 944 of the family's 3401-position model. The record is from RNAcentral. Lineage: Eukaryota; Metazoa; Arthropoda; Insecta; Coleoptera; Curculionidae.